This 253-nucleotide ribosomal RNA is filed under the name uncultured bacterium. RNAcentral describes it as "partial 16S ribosomal RNA". It matches the Rfam family "Bacterial small subunit ribosomal RNA", at positions 524 to 776 of the family's 1533-position model. The record is from RNAcentral.
UACAGGGGGUGCAAACGUUGCUCGGAAUCAUUGGGCGUAAAGCGCACGUAGGCGGCUUGGUAUGUCGGGUGUGAAAUCCCCGGGCUCAACCUGGGAACUGCAUCCGAAACUGCCUUGCUCGAGUAUGGGAGAGGGAAGUGGAAUUUCCGGUGUAGCGGUGAAAUGCGUAGAUAUCGGAAGGAACAUCAGUGGCGAAGGCGACUUCCUGGACCAAUACUGACGCUCAGGUGCGAAAGCGUGGGGAGCAAACAGG